This 317-nucleotide ribosomal RNA is filed under the name uncultured bacterium. RNAcentral's name for it is "bacterial SSU rRNA". It matches the Rfam family "Bacterial small subunit ribosomal RNA", at positions 28 to 334 of the family's 1533-position model. The record is from RNAcentral.
GACGAACGCUGGCGGCAUGCCUAACACAUGCAAGUCGAACGGAGAUUAUUUCGGUAAUCUUAGUGGCGAACGGGUGAGUAAUGCGUAGGCAACCUGCCCUUUAGUUGAGGACAACAUCCCGAAAGGGGUGCUAAUACCGAAUGUGAUCACAUUUCCGCAUGGAAUUGUGAUGAAAGAUGGCCUCUAUUUAUAAGCUAUCGCUAAAGGAUGGGCCUGCGUCUGAUUAGAUAGUUGGCGGGGUAACGGCCCACCAAACCUACGAUGGAUAGGGGUUCUGAGAGGAAGGUCCCCCACAUUGGAACUGAGACACGGUCCAA